CGAGUGUCUAUGAUGGUUUUAAAUAUACUAUGAGCGAUUGCCAUGAAAAAAACUUUAAUCUGAGGCACUGA
Molecule: non-coding RNA, 71 nt
Organism: Nelumbo nucifera (sacred lotus)
Lineage: Eukaryota; Viridiplantae; Streptophyta; Magnoliopsida; Proteales; Nelumbonaceae
Source: Rfam